AGAGUCGGCGGUCGGAGCGGGGUGACGAGGACCUCAUGCACGAGGCGGCGAAGGACCGAUGGCAGAGAACCGAGUGCGGCGCGAGGCGGUGGCCGCGGCCAGCGGGUGGGUGCGUCUGGGCGCAGGCGGGCACCGGGGCCCAGGGUCUGGUCCUCCUCCUUGUGGCGGGUCCAGGGCGCGGCCGCCUCGCCCAGCCCCUAGGCGCACUCGUCCCGGCGCGGAGGCGGCGGCGACAAGGCAGUCGCUGGGUGCCGCGUCUGCCGGCGGAGACGCAGACCGACGCGCAAGAGGCGACCGCGGCUGCCUCGGCUCCCAGCUCUGUUAACUGCGCGGAGUACUUUCGACUUUGGAGAUAGGAGGGCGAUCGCCUCCCCCACCCACCGCCUCCGCCCACCACCCACCGCCUCCGCCCCUCCGAGCAACUUUUCCCGGUGCCUGCGAGCUCCCCCUCCGCGCCGAGCCGAACGUCCCGGCCCGCCGCGCUUCGUGCCGCCGCGCGCGCAGGGAAGGCCGCUUCUCCUUCAAAGCUGGCACGGCCGCGAGUCCGGAACAAUAGUCGGGGUGUCCCGAAUGCCAGGAGCACGGCCACUGCCCGCCGGGCUGUGGGUGGCACAGGAAUGGGGGUUGCGUGGUGGAUGCAGAGCGGGGUGCAUCCCUGGAUGGCAUCGCUGGAGCGCUCGCCGCUCCGGCGACAUCGCGAGCGGUGCAAACCGGGCCGCCUGGAGCCCGUGACGCGGUGGCGGCGAGGGCGGUGGGGCUGCCUGUCCUCGGGCUACAGGACUGGGGCUCCUGGGGACCCCAAGCUGCUCGAGCCCAGGGCUGCUGGCGCCAACAGAGCUGUGCCCUGAGGACCCGGCCUCCCCGCCCGGGGGGAGGCCGCACAGGAGCGUCCCCAGCAGGUCCCGCGAAGGCGUAACAGAGCCACAAACUUUUGCCGACUCCCGCGGCCGCGGCCGCCGGCAGCCCGACUCCGGCCGCGGUGCUCAUUUAAGGUGGCGCGGGCACUAGCCGAGCAGGCUGGCCUCUGGCCGCGCUUUUGUCCCUGCGAUUCCGCUUGGGCGCGCUGCCUCCUUAAGGAAAAGCACGUGGGCAGGGGCCGCAGCCCCCGCGAGAUACCCGGGGCGUCGGCGGACAUUAGCCGCUAGGACCUUAGGCGAGAAAAUGUGGACGCAUCCCCGCCGGCCCUGAGGCCAGAGAAUCCCCCCUCAACUGGUUGCACCUCAUGUCCCUCCCGCACACGUUGACUCUCCCUCCUAAUCCCCAGGACCCCGAGGGCUCUCCCACAUCUCCCGCAGCAAGAGCCACCGAUCCCCCUUAAGAAGCGUUGACUGUACGGCGGCGCCAGAGGGCCAAACUAAGUUCGGUUUCGGGAAACGCUCUCGGGAGCAGUUCUGUAAAUCCCUGCUGGGAGCAGAGACUGCGAAAAGCUGAGUCCGCCGAUCGUGCCCGGGACAAGGCUGCCUUCCACUCGCCCUCGCCGCAUCUACCUGGUAGGCGGCAUGCGCACGGGCUUAGAGGCUUGAGAGCCUCUGGAAGAGAAAGGGUCCCAGGAAGGAAACCUGCCCCCGGCCUAAGUGUCGGCGCCCAGAUCACCACGAACCCCGCACCUAGGCGCCGCCCACCAAGUUCCAAAGAAGUCCGAGGCGACCUGGGAGUCGGUCGGAUCCCAGCCGAGAAAAGAAACAAGCAGGAUAGCAAUUCUUAGGGGAGCCACCCUGGGAGUUUUAGGCAGCGUUUGCCUUUCCCUGGUUUUCUUCACCAAGCCCCAUCCUCCCCCCGCAUACCACCCCCAGUCAAAAGAGUGGGAGAAAAUGCACAGUUCGAAGUCGGUGAGAGCAAAAAUGGGUCUAGUAAAUCAACCCGUGGUGGUAGCUAAAAGGUUUGGGGCUGCAAAGAAACAAACUGUAAGUUUUGAGCAACAAACUUUUUCUUCAAUCUGUAAUAUGUCGAAAUGGGAAGGGGGUGUUGCAAAAGCCAACUACCACUGUCAAACUUAGCCCGUUUACAACAUGGGGAAAGGCGUAUUUCUUACUAAUAUCUCAACAACGAUAACAAUGCUGUAUCCUUCCUUACCUUGAUGUUGAACUGCGAAUCCUCCUCCGGAUCAAUGUCCAGGAACUUAGAAGAAUUGGUGAUAUUAGGAGUUCAGUACUUCUGGAAAAAAAUGCAAAUGGUUUAGCCAGGAUCUUUCCUGUCUGAUUCGUCACUAUUAUUAUAUCUGAUGAUGCGAAUGGUUGGAGCGAUUCAAUCCUAAGUCAUUAAUGAGCUAUUUUAUAAACACCACUGUCUGAAGAUCUUCAUUUACAUUUUGCUAAGGAUCACUUCGCUAACCUCACAGGCUUGUGUCAACAGCAUGAUUUGCAGGACUUCAGUUACACUCUUAUAAACAACACGGCUGUAUUGUUAAUCGGUUAAUAUUUUAUAAAGUGUAAAUAUUUUAUUAUGUUUUGAAGGGAACUAUUGAUUCUAAAUUAUUAAACCCCUGAGAAGGACUAUUUAAAUGAAAUAUACAAUUAAGUACAAUUAAAUGUACAUUGUGGUUAGUUUGUUUUCAGAUUCUGCACCCUUUUAAAUUCAUUGCUUUUCUCUUUACUGGAGUUUCCUCUUGUCCAUUUCUGAUACUGAAAAAAAUCUAUCAUGUUAGGAAAAAGCCUAAAUUAUUUAAAGUUGCAUUAAACUUAGAGGAAAAUGUCAAAUACGAUUAAUUAUGACCAGAAAUGUAUUUUGGAUGUUUGUAGAGUUGUAUUUCAUAUCACAUUUUACAAAUUUCUUCCGAUUUAAAGGAGAGUUCUAGGAAGUUUUGUGAUCUAUGUCCGGUGUGGGUUUUUGUCCUCUCGAGUUUUGUCUCUAAUAAAGGCCUUUUUUGUUUCAAAUUACAUACGCUUUUUACUGCACAAUUUUUGUAUUGACCUUAUUUCAACUGAAGCGAUUAUUUCCAGCAGGUUUAAUUUCGACAAUAAGAUAUAUUUUAAUAGUUUUACCUUUCGCUAGAAUUUUGUAUUGUUUAAAACAGUAAAUGAAUAAAUUUGCUGAUGAUUCAA
RNAcentral lists this long non-coding RNA (3041 nucleotides) under Homo sapiens (human). RNAcentral describes it as "HSALNT0308200". The record is from RNAcentral. Lineage: Eukaryota; Metazoa; Chordata; Mammalia; Primates; Hominidae.